AAUAAAUACAGUUUUAACACGGUUCAUACUUAACGUUUCAUCGUUCGUCUUAUUUAAAAAAUAAUUAUGAUUAGUAUUAUUAUUAUUAGAUGAUAAUGUAUGAAUAGUACUUUAUGUGUGACUAAUAUUUUUAAUUUUUUUCAUAAAAUUUUUAAAUAAGACGGACGGUCAAAAUGCUGAACAUAUAUCUAUGGCUGUAUUUAUU
Molecule: non-coding RNA, 205 nt
Organism: Oryza glumipatula
Lineage: Eukaryota; Viridiplantae; Streptophyta; Magnoliopsida; Poales; Poaceae
Source: Rfam